GUAGGUGGCAAGCGCUGUCCGGAAUUAUUGGGCGUAAAGCGCGCGCAGGCGGUUCUUUAAGUCUGAUGUGAAAGCCCACGGCUCAACCGUGGAGGGUCAUUGGAAACUGGAGAACUUGAGUACAGAAGAGGAAAGCGGAAUUCCACGUGUAGCGGUGAAAUGCGUAGAGAUGUGGAGGAACACCAGUGGCGAAGGCGGCUUUCUGGUCUGUAACUGACGCUGAGGCGCGAAAGCGUGGGGAGCAAACAGGAUUAGAUACCCUGGUAGUCCACGCCGUAAACGAUGAGUGCUAAGUGUUAGGGGGUUUCCGCCCCCCUUAGUGCUGCAGCUAACGCAUUAAGCACUCCGCCUGGGAGUACGGCCGCAAGGCUG
Molecule: ribosomal RNA, 372 nt
Filed under: uncultured organism
Description: partial 16S ribosomal RNA
Rfam family: Bacterial small subunit ribosomal RNA
Source: RNAcentral